RNAcentral lists this ribosomal RNA (222 nucleotides) under uncultured bacterium. RNAcentral's name for it is "partial 16S ribosomal RNA". It matches the Rfam family "Bacterial small subunit ribosomal RNA", at positions 328 to 539 of the family's 1533-position model. The record is from RNAcentral.
ACGCUCGACACCUACUGGAGGCAGCAGUAGGGAAUCUUCCACAAUGGGCGCAAGCCUGAUGGAGCAACACCGCGUGAGUGAAGAAGGGUUUCGGCUCGUAAAGCUCUGUUGUUGGAGAAGAACGUGCGUGAGAGUAACUGUUCACGCAGUGACGGUAUCCAACCAGAAAGUCACGGCUAACUACGUGCCGCAGCCGCGGUAAUCUGAGCGGGCUGGCAAGGC